AGAGUUUGAUCCUGGCUCAGAUUGAACGCUGGCGGCAUGCUUUACACAUGCAAGUCGAGCGGCAGCGCGGGGCUCAGGCAACUGAGCCCUGGCGGCGAGCGGCGAACGGGUGAGUAACACAUCGGAACGUAUCCCGUAGUGGGGGAUAACCCGGCGAAAGCCGGGCUAAUACCGCAUAUGCUCCACGGAGGAAAGUGGGGGACCCAGCAGGCAACUGAGGGGCCUCACGCUAUGGGAGCGGCCGAUGUCCGAUUAGCUAGUUGGUGGGGUAAAGGCCUACCAAGGCGACGAUCGGUAGCUGGUCUGAGAGGAUGAUCAGCCAGACUGGGACUGAGACACGGCCCAGACUCCUACGGGAGGCAGCAGUUAGGAAUUUUGGGCAAUGGGCGCAAGCCUGACCCAGCAACGCCGCGUGGGUGACGAAGGCCUUCGGGUUGUAAAGCACUUUCGGACGGAACGAAAUCGCGCGAGUUAAUAGUUCGCGUGGAUGACGGUACCGUAAGAAGAAGCACCGGCUAACUACGUGCCAGCAGCCGCGGUAAU
This 543-nucleotide ribosomal RNA is filed under the name uncultured soil bacterium. RNAcentral describes it as "bacterial SSU rRNA". It matches the Rfam family "Bacterial small subunit ribosomal RNA", at positions 8 to 524 of the family's 1533-position model. The record is from RNAcentral.